This 440-nucleotide ribosomal RNA is filed under the name uncultured Lachnospiraceae bacterium. RNAcentral describes it as "bacterial SSU rRNA". It matches the Rfam family "Bacterial small subunit ribosomal RNA", at positions 338 to 795 of the family's 1533-position model. The record is from RNAcentral. Lineage: Bacteria; Bacillati; Bacillota; Clostridia; Lachnospirales; Lachnospiraceae.
CCUACGGGCGGCAGCAGUGGGGAAUAUUGCACAAUGGAGGGAACUCUGAUGCAGCGACGCCGCGUGAGUGAGGAAGUAUUUCGGUAUGUAAAGCUCUAUCAGCAGGGAAGAUAAUGACGGUACCUGAGUAAGAAGCACCGGCUAAAUACGUGCCAGCAGCCGCGGUAAUACGUAUGGUGCAAGCGUUAUCCGGAUUUACUGGGUGUAAAGGGAGUGCAGGCGGUUAGAUAAGUCAGAUGUGAAAACCCGAGGCUCAACCACGGGAUUGCAUUUGAAACUGUAGAACUAGAGUAUCGGAGAGGCAAGUGGAAUUCCUAGUGUAGCGGUGAAAUGCGUAGAUAUUAGGAAGAACACCAGCGGCGAAGGCGGCUUGCUGGACGAUUACUGACGCUGAGGCUCGAAAGCGUGGGGAGCAAACAGGAUUAGAUACCCCGGUAGUC